This 107-nucleotide small nuclear RNA is filed under the name Salvator merianae (Argentine black and white tegu). The record is from RNAcentral. Lineage: Eukaryota; Metazoa; Chordata; Lepidosauria; Squamata; Teiidae.
GCGCUCGCUUCGGCAGCACAUAUUCUGAAACUGGAACGAUACAGUGAAGAUGAGCAUGGCUCCUGCGCAAGGAUGACAUGCAAAUUCAUGAAGCGUUCCAUAUUUAA